GACGUAGGGGGCAAGCGUUGUCCGGAAUCAUUGGGCGUAAAGCGCUCGUAGGUGGAUCGGUAAGUCUGCAAAGAAAGACCCGGGCUCAACUCGGGGAACGGUGUGGAUACUACCGAUCUUGAGGCAAUCAGAGGAUGAUGGAAUUCCCGGUGUGGCGGUGAAAUGCGUAGAUAUCGGGAGGAACACCAGUGGCGAAGGCGAUCAUCUGGGGUUGUUCUGACACUGAGGAGCGAAAGCUAGGGGAGCAAACGGG
This 253-nucleotide ribosomal RNA is filed under the name uncultured bacterium. RNAcentral's name for it is "partial 16S ribosomal RNA". It matches the Rfam family "Bacterial small subunit ribosomal RNA", at positions 524 to 776 of the family's 1533-position model. The record is from RNAcentral.